CCCUUAGAUGUUCUGGGCCGCACGCGCGCUACACUGAUGCAUGCAACGAGUUCUAUCCUUGGCCGGAAGGCCUGGGUAAUCUGUGAACGUGCAUCGUGAUAGGGAUAGAUUAUUGCAAUUAUUAAUCUUGAACGAGGAAUUCCUAGUAAACGCAAGUCAUCAGCUUGCAUUGAUUACGUCCCUGCCCUUUGUACACACCGCCCGUCGCACCUACCGAUCGAAGGUAAUGAUGAGCCCUCAGGAUUGUGGCCUCGUCGCGUCGGCGUCUUGGCUGCGAGAAUCUGUGCAAAUCCCUACCUUUAGAGGAAGGUGAAGUCGUAACA
RNAcentral lists this ribosomal RNA (323 nucleotides) under uncultured eukaryote. RNAcentral describes it as "partial 18S ribosomal RNA". It matches the Rfam family "Eukaryotic small subunit ribosomal RNA", at positions 1470 to 1796 of the family's 1831-position model. The record is from RNAcentral.